CAAGGUAUAUCUGUUUCUGCAUUCGCAAUCCUCAGAGUCACCUUCACUUAUACUUAUUUUCAUUUGUCCCCUUUCUUUCGGAAUAGUGAUGUAAUUAUUUUGUAUGACUACUCCUAGGAAGGCUUAUGACUUGUACUACCGGUUUUGGAAUGGUAAAGUGCUUAGAGAAAUUUUAUUUUAAGUUAAUAAAUAGCAAUAUUAUUUCAGUUAAUGUUAGGCUACCUAAUCUAGAGACUAGGUGCCAUCACUACUACUUCAGAGGGAUUUUUGGGUUGUG
Molecule: long non-coding RNA, 277 nt
Filed under: Nicotiana benthamiana
Lineage: Eukaryota; Viridiplantae; Streptophyta; Magnoliopsida; Solanales; Solanaceae
Description: long non-coding RNA (NBEN_LNC042365)
Source: RNAcentral